UCUUUUCCUUUUCAACCUCUGCAAGAGCAAUGUCUCUGUCAAGUGAUCCCCCAGAAAUCUUCUUUGGAGCCGAUUCGUGAGUCUUAUCGACUACAGCGAGAGCUUUGGAUUCAUCAAGCUUCUCUUCAGGUGAUGGAACAAUAGCUUUCUCCUGUGCCGCAUCUUGCUUGAAUUCCGCCGGUGCCGGUGCUGGAGUUGGUGUCACCGGCGAUUCGGUUUCUAGCUUCUUCGCUUCCUGUUCUGCCA
RNAcentral lists this unclassified non-coding RNA (246 nucleotides) under Hevea brasiliensis (rubber tree). The record is from RNAcentral. Lineage: Eukaryota; Viridiplantae; Streptophyta; Magnoliopsida; Malpighiales; Euphorbiaceae.